CAGGUGUAGCGGUGAAAUGCGUAGAGAUCUGGAGGAAUACCGGUGGCGAAGGCGGCCCCCUGGACAAAGACUGACGCUCAGGUGCGAAAGCGUGGGGAGCAAACAGGAUUAGAUACCCUGGUAGUCCACGCCGUAAACGAUGUCUACUUGGAGGUUGUGCCCUUGAGGCGUGGCUUCCGGAGCUAACGCGUUAAGUAGACCGCCUGGGGAGUACGGCCGCAAGGUUAAAACUCAAAUGAAUUGACGGGGGCCCGCACAAGCGGUGGAGCAUGUGGUUUAAUUCGAUGCAACGCGAAGAACCUUAC
Molecule: ribosomal RNA, 305 nt
Filed under: Salmonella enterica subsp. enterica
Lineage: Bacteria; Pseudomonadati; Pseudomonadota; Gammaproteobacteria; Enterobacterales; Enterobacteriaceae
Description: bacterial SSU rRNA
Rfam family: Bacterial small subunit ribosomal RNA
Source: RNAcentral